CCCUUAGACGUUCUGGGCCGCACGCGCGCUACACUGACGGAGCCAGCGAGUAUAAACCUUGGCCGAGAGGUCUGGGAAAUCUUGUGAAACUCCGGCGUGCUGGGGAUAGAGCAUUGUAAUUAUUGCUCUUCAACGAGGAAUUCCUAGUAAGCGCAAGUCAUCAGCUUGCGUUGAUUACGUCCCUGCCCUUUGUACACACCGCCCGUCGCUACUACCGAUUGAAUGGCUUAGUGAGGCUUCCGGAUUGGUUUAGAGAAGGGGGCAACUCCAUCUUGGAACCGAGAAGCUAGUCAAACUUGGUCAUUUAGAGGAAGUAAAAGUCGUAACA
RNAcentral lists this ribosomal RNA (328 nucleotides) under uncultured eukaryote. Its description in RNAcentral is "partial 18S ribosomal RNA". It matches the Rfam family "Eukaryotic small subunit ribosomal RNA", at positions 1470 to 1796 of the family's 1831-position model. The record is from RNAcentral.